UGGUCCCUCUCCCUCUUGUGGUCAGACCUGUCCCCGCUCUGGCUCCUCCCUCCCUCCUCCCUCCCUCCUCUCUCUCACCAGUGCCUGCAGGUGCCUCAGGGAAGCAGAGCUCAGACCCUAACCUGCCCUCUGCCACCCAUCCAGUCAGUCUCCGUCCAGCAGGUGCAGCUGAGAGGUCACCCUGGGCUUCUCCCCACCAGCGGGGAAGCAGAACCAUGCUGGGUCCCCUCGCCUUCCUGUGUGCCCUCCUGUUUCCAGGUGGCGAGGCAGCGAUCAGUCUGACUCAGCAGGCUGUGGCCGUGGGGCGUGUGGGCAGCUCGGCCACCCUCUCCUGCCAAGCCAGCGCCUCCGUCAGCUACAUCCACUGGUACCUCCACCAGGAGGGGACUGACCCCAAGAGGAUCCUCAUGCUGGACAUGUCAAGGUUACAUGUGCAGAGGUAUGGGGGCUUGGAAGCGGACAAAAUCGAUGCCAAGAAAGGCAAGGAAAGCAACAGCUGUGAACUGUCAGUGAAGAAGCUGCAGAAGAGUGACGAGGGCGUGUACUACUGUGCUGCCUGGGAAGCUCACAGCCCCGCCUGGGGCAACAAAGUGUUCGGUCCGGGCACACUGCUCAGGGUCACAGAUAGAAGCCUUGAUGCAGACACUUCCCCCAAGCCCACACUCUUUCUUCCUUCGAUGGCUGAAAUAAAAUUCGAUAGGACUGGAACGUAUCUUUGCCUUCUUGAGAAUUUCUUCCCUGAUGUUGUCAAGAUAGACUGGAAAGAAAAGAACAGCAAAAGAAUUCUGAUAUCCCAGCAGGGAAACACCAUGAAGACAAAGGACACAUACAUGAAAUACACCUGGUUGACGCGCACUAAACAGUCAAUAAAUAAAGAACACAAAUGUAUCUUCACACAUGAGACUAAUAAAGGAGGGGUUGAUCAUGAGAUUGCUUUUCACUCAAUGAAGAAAGAGCUCGCUGUCAUUGAUUCUAUAGAAGCUUCUCUGAAAGAUGAAAAUGACCCCCUACAGCUGCAGUGUGCGAACACCUCUGCCUACUACACCUACGUCAUCCUCCUCGUCAAGAGCAUGGUCUACACCAUCAUCAUCGCCUACUGUCUGCUUGGGAGACCAGCACUCUGCCGCAAUGAGAAGAGUUGUAACACAUGGUGGCCCAAGGCUCCACUUUUCUUUACUGGCUAUUGUCGCUAAAGGUGUCUGCUGAGGCUCUAGCGGGGCUUUCUUUCUGGGUGUGGGUUAUUGCAGUUCACAUGUGUCUUUUUUCUAUGUGUCAUCACUGCAGAAUGGGUUUACAAACUGCUGGGCAAACAGGAAAUGUCACUCUGCACCAAGAACAGACUCUGCCAUGAGUCAGGGGCGGGGCCGGGGGGCACUCACGGGGGCUUCAGUACCACUCUCUCCUUCACGCCCACCAGCCCGUCAGCCACCCAGCACCCUCGCCUCUGAGUACAGCUGGCAUGCAGCUUCCAUAGUGGCCCCUGGGGCUCUGUAUGCAGAUAACUGCCUGGAGGCCUUUUAUUUUACAUACAUGGAAGCUGCCAUCUUUGCUACCUGAGUUUUGUUCUGUUGUUCGUAACAGGCAUAAUAAAAAUAAUCAAAAGUGUA
Non-coding RNA from Herpailurus yagouaroundi (jaguarundi), 1607 nucleotides. Lineage: Eukaryota; Metazoa; Chordata; Mammalia; Carnivora; Felidae. The record is from the annotation of a RefSeq genome assembly.